Molecule: non-coding RNA, 21 nt
Filed under: Arabidopsis thaliana (thale cress)
Lineage: Eukaryota; Viridiplantae; Streptophyta; Magnoliopsida; Brassicales; Brassicaceae
Source: RNAcentral
ACGGCUCACUAUGCAAUGGUU